UCAGUCGACUCCUACGGGGAGGCAGCAGUGGGGGAAUAUUGCACAAUGGGCGCAAGCCUGAUGCAGCCAUGCCGCGUGUGUGAAGAAGGCCUUCGGGUUGUAAAGCACUUUCAGUCGUGAGGAAGGUAGUGUAGUUAAUAGCUGCAUUAUUUGACGUUAGCGACAGAAGAAGCACCGGCUAACUCCGUGCCAGCAGCCGCGGUAAUACGGAGGGUGCGAGCGUUAAUCGGAAUUACUGGGCGUAAAGCGCAUGCAGGUGGUUUGUUAAGUUCAGAUGUGAAAGACCCGGGGCUCAACCUCGGAAUAGCAUUUGUAAACUAGGCAGACUAGAGUACUGUAGAGGGGGGUAGGAAUUUCAGGUGUAGCGGUGAAAUGCGUAGAGAUCUGAAGGAAUACCGGUGGCGAAGGCGGCCCCCCUGGACAGAUACUGACACUCAGAUGCGAAAGCGUGGGGAGCAAACAGGAUUAGAUACCCCUGGUAG
Molecule: ribosomal RNA, 482 nt
Filed under: uncultured bacterium
Lineage: Bacteria
Description: bacterial SSU rRNA
Rfam family: Bacterial small subunit ribosomal RNA
Source: RNAcentral